RNAcentral lists this ribosomal RNA (915 nucleotides) under Crepidotus variabilis. RNAcentral describes it as "partial large subunit ribosomal RNA". Lineage: Eukaryota; Fungi; Basidiomycota; Agaricomycetes; Agaricales; Crepidotaceae. The record is from RNAcentral.
ACAUAUCAAUAAGCGGAGGAAAAGAAACUAACAAGGAUUCCCCUAGUAACUGCGAGUGAAGCGGGAAAAGCUCAAAUUUGAAAUCUGGCAGUCUUUGAUUGUCCGAGUUGUAAUCUAGAGAAGUGUUACCCGCGUUGGACCGUGUACAAGUCUCCUGGAAUGGAGCGUCAUAGAGGGUGAGAAUCCCGUCUUUGACACGGACUGCCAAGGCUUUGUGGUGCGCUCUCAAAGAGUCGAGUUGUUUGGGAAUGCAGCUCAAAAUGGGUGGUAAAUGCCAUCUAAAGCUAAAUACAGGCGAGAGACCGAUAGCGAACAAGUACCGUGAGGGAAAGAUGAAAAGAACUUUGGAAAGAGAGUUAAACAGUACGUGAAAUUGCUGAAAGGGAAACGCUUGAAGUCAGUCGCGUUGGCCGGGAAUCAACCUUACUUUUGUUGGGUGUACUUUCUAGUCGACGGGUCAGCAUCAGUUUUGACCAGUGGAUAAAGGCGUAGGAAAUGUGGCAUCUUCGGAUGUGUUAUAGUCCUGCGUUGUAUACAUUGGUUGGGACUGAGGAACUCAGCACGCCGCAAGGCCGGGGUUCGCCCACGUUCGUGCUUAGGAUGCUGGCAUAAUGGCUUUAAUCGACCCGUCUUGAAACACGGACCAAGGAGUUUAACAUGCCUGCGAGUGUUUGGGUGGAAAACCCGAGCGCGUAAUGAAAGUGAAAGUUGAGAUCCCUGUCGUGGGGAGCAUCGACGCCCGGMCCAGACCUUUUGUGACGGAUCCGCGGUAGAGCAUGUAUGUUGGGACCCGAAAGAUGGUGAACUAUGCCUGAAUAGGGUGAAGCCAGAGGAAACUCUGGUGGAGGCUCGUAGCGAUUCUGACGUGCAAAUCGAUCGUCAAAUUUGGGUAUAGGGGCGAAAGACUAAUCGAUC